Molecule: long non-coding RNA, 478 nt
Organism: Gossypium raimondii (Peruvian cotton)
Lineage: Eukaryota; Viridiplantae; Streptophyta; Magnoliopsida; Malvales; Malvaceae
Exons: 2
Source: RefSeq, a predicted model, not a curated record
UCCUGACCGCAUUCGGGUCGGGUCAAAUGCGGGUCAGGAUAUUUAAAUCAAAAAUUUUCAGAAAAAAACAUUUUAACCACCAUUAAAAAAACCAGAAACCCUCUUAUUUUCCUCUCAAACUUCUGACUCUUGGGGUUCUGUUCGCGCCGCCGUAGCGCUCGCCGCACCGCCACCGUUUCCGACGGCCGAUGAAGGGUCAGAACGGGCGUUCGAAGCCCUGGCCGGCAUUGACGGAGACGUAUCAGCGAACAGGUGGAGCAGAGGGCAGGUAUGGCAGCAGCGUACGGCGCACAUGGGAGCAGCAAGGGAUGCGGCGCCCUAGGUUUGGGGAUUAGGGUUUUUUGCUGAAAUGUUUUAGGUGAUUGGGCCAUUGGGCUUGCUAUUUUUUUUGUGUUUAAUUUAGUUUGUUGGGCUGGGGCAAAUUUGGGCUUUGUACAAAUAUGAUUAUGAAAUUAAAACAUAAUAAUUUUAAUUUUAA